AACAAUAUGUACCAAGAAGUGGUAAAACUAUACAUUGGCCUGAUGAUAAAGGUCCACCUCCAGACGUACCAAUAUGUGGCUUUAGAUCAGAUAUGUGUUCUUCUUCAGGUAUUUCAGAUUUUACCGUUACAGUUUUAUGUGUUGGUUUUGCCGUUAUUAUUAUUACGGCUAUAACCAUUGUAGGUUUCAUUUACAGGCGAUGGAAGAGGAAUAUGGAGUCUGACAUGUGGUGGUGGAGAAUAGCAAAGGAUGAUCUAGACAUAGUAGACAAACAGGAUUUAAACAGUUCGGCGAUAUCUUUUAUAUCUAAGCUUACUUCUUUGAAGAGUGACGCAGGAGUUAAUAUGGAUAGAUUUAUAGAUGUGGCGAUGUUUAGGGGUAUCAUGGUCCAACUUAAAAAGUUAGAUUUGAAAGAUGUCCCUCUAACAAAGAGACUUUUAGCAGAAUUUAAAGAGAUCCGGGAUGUCAAUCAGACCAACAUUGCUAAAGUCUUUGGUGCAUGUUUGGACCCUGGCUUUAAAUGUAUUGUUAUAGAACAUUGUUCUAAGGGAACUCUACAGGAUAUACUAGGAAGUUCAGAGUUAACAUUAGACGCCCACUUCAAGUUCUCUCUCGCUAUUGACAUUGCACAGGGUAUGGCAUAUAUUCAUCAAAGUACCAUCCAUCACCAUGGUAAAUUAUCUAGUGUCGUCUGUUUAAUAGAUAAUAGGUUUUGUGUUAAAAUAACGGAUGUUGGGUUAAGGUAUUUGCAUGAAAAUCUCAAU
Long non-coding RNA from Patella vulgata (common limpet), 764 nucleotides. RefSeq lists it as uncharacterized. The transcript is spliced from 8 exons. The record is from RefSeq and is a predicted model, not a curated record. NCBI's taxonomy places the organism in Eukaryota, Metazoa, Mollusca, Gastropoda, Patellidae.